GAUGAAGAACGUAGCGAAAUGCGAUAAGUAAUGUGAAUUGCAGAAUUCAGUGAAUCAUCGAAUCUUUGAACGCACAUUGCGCCCGCCAGUAUUCUGGCGGGCAUGCCUGCCCGAGCGUCAUUUCAACCCUCGAACCCCUCCGGGGGGUCGGCGUUGGGGAUCGGCACUUACCUGCCGGCCCCGAAAUACAGUGGCGGUCUCGCCGCAGCCUCUCCUGCGCAGUAGUUUGCACACUCGCACCGGGAGCGCGGCGCGUCCACGGCCGUAAAACAACCCAAACUUCUGAAAUGUUGACCUCGGAUAAGGUAGGAAUACCCGCUGAACUUAAGCAUAUCAAUAAGCGGAGGA
RNAcentral lists this unclassified non-coding RNA (348 nucleotides) under soil metagenome. Its description in RNAcentral is "partial contains 5.8S ribosomal RNA, internal transcribed spacer 2, and large subunit ribosomal RNA". The stretch from base 1 to 120 matches the Rfam family "5.8S ribosomal RNA", at positions 35 to 154 of the family's 154-position model. The record is from RNAcentral.